Molecule: long non-coding RNA, 1370 nt
Organism: Carassius carassius (crucian carp)
Lineage: Eukaryota; Metazoa; Chordata; Actinopteri; Cypriniformes; Cyprinidae
Exons: 3
Source: RefSeq, a predicted model, not a curated record
ACCAUCAUUUGUAUCGAGGGGGCCCAAAUGCAUAACAAUGUCUAGUGUUAAAUAAUGACAGCUGCUGUAUCUCAUUGCUCUUGCAGUCACUUUUCACUCAUCAGGGUUUCCACAAACAUCUCCAGCCUCGGUUACACUGCUGUCACCUUCAGACUAUUUCUCAUUUCUAAACAAGCCUGAACCAGCAUGGGAACUGAUUGUGGUCACAGCUGGUCUUUUUCAGCAGGGAUAUAAAUGUGAAUGCCAAGAAGACAUGUCAUGGUUUAUUUUGCUGUGAUGUUCAGCUGACUGCACAAUAUCCUUUACUGCUAUGACUGAUUCAGCUUUUUUUUUUCUUUUUUUUUUUGUCAUUCAGUCUUGGCAGGGGCUGGGUUCAGCAGUGCUGUAGUACAAUAUGUGAGCAUCUCUAGGUCAAUGAUGGUGCAGUCAGCGCUGGAGAAGAAUUGGAAUGAGGGAUUAUGAAGGACUGUUAGUGCUCCUCCAUCCGUCCGCUCCCUCGGGACACGCACAUUAGAAAGGCCUGAGAAAAUCAAACAGCACUAGUCUCUGGCUCUCAUAAGCCAGAAUCCCAGAGGUCUUUAAAGAAGGAAGAUGUACGGAUGAAGAAAACAGUGAGAUGGUGUCUCAGCAGGUUCGGCAGUCGAUGGCUGUGAACAAUGCUCCUGUGGGAUCUCCACACCCACAGCCUCCAAAGAAGCGAGCAUGCGUCCCAGCGGCCUACUCCUCCAUCCUCUGCGUCUCCUGAGCUACAAGACUGCUGGAGCCUGAAGCUGCCCACCCUCCUGCACCUUUGACCCUCCAAACAACCACAAACACUGACUCACUGAAGACUCCUCAUGCCUUCCGACAAACCGCAAACCUCCACACUUCGUGAUUUUUAACAGCUUCUGAUCGAGGAAUUAAAGGAGCUGUGGAGCGGAAUCAAAGAACUGCAUCAGAUAUCAUAUUUACUUUGGCCGAACUGCACACACAAGAUCAAAGGCAGCGAAGGAUACAUUACGCUCCCUUCUAAAAACCAGCUAUACAAAGGCAUCUCGGUAGGCAGGAUGUUAUGUGAAACAUUGAAUUCGGAUGAGUCUUGAUGUUUUCCUACUGCCGUAUACAGCCGGAGAAGGCAGCGUUAUCCAUCUUUCAGACACAGCCUUUGGGUCCAGCAUGCAUGUAUUAUGGGAAAGUAAUCGUGCACUGGAUCUUGUUUUCUUUCAUGUGGCUUUUAAUAAUGUAUGUCAAGCAAGUGCAUGUUGUCAAGCAAGCAAAAUUCAGCCUGCUUAAAAAAUGUUUACACAACAGCGAAUUACACACUAUGCCUAUUUCUACGGCAGAAAUUAUUUGCCUAACAUUGGCAAAAGACUACCUGCCAAAAAAAGAAA